This 561-nucleotide ribosomal RNA is filed under the name uncultured bacterium. Its description in RNAcentral is "bacterial SSU rRNA". It matches the Rfam family "Bacterial small subunit ribosomal RNA", at positions 338 to 916 of the family's 1533-position model. The record is from RNAcentral.
CCUACGGGAGGUAGAGUGGGGAAUAUUGCGCAAUGGGGGAAACCCUGACGCAGCAACGCCGCGUGAGCGAUGAAGGCCUUCGGGUCGUAAAGCUCUGUCUUUUGGGACGAUAAUGACGGUACCAAAGGAGGAAGCCACGGCUAACUACGUGCCAGCAGCCGCGGUAAUACGUAGGUGGCGAGCGUUGUCCGGAAUUACUGGGCGUAAAGGGUGCGUAGGCGGAAGCUUAAGUCAGAUGUGAAAUCCCAAGGCUCAACCUUGGAGUGGCAUUUGAAACUGGGUUUCUUGAGUGCAGGAGAGGAAAGCGGAAUUCCUAGUGUAGCGGUGAAACGCGUAGAUAUUAGGAAGAACACCAGUGGCGAAGGCGGCUUUCUGGACUGUAACUGACGCUGAGGCACGAAAGCGUGGGGAGCAAACAGGAUUAGAUACCCUGGUAGUCCACGCUGUAAACGAUGAGUGCUAGGUGUGGGGGGUUUCGACACCCUCUGUGCCGCAGUAAACGCAAUAAGCACUCCGCCUGGGGAGUACGGUCGCAAGACUAAAACUCAAAGGAAUUGACGG